Molecule: long non-coding RNA, 7856 nt
Organism: Gallus gallus (chicken)
Lineage: Eukaryota; Metazoa; Chordata; Aves; Galliformes; Phasianidae
Exons: 3
Source: RefSeq, a predicted model, not a curated record
GUCUGCUUUUCCUAAAACCUGCCCUCCAGCCUCUGCCGCGGGUUCUGCACAUACACAGGGGACUUGGCCGUGCACAGCUUUCCAUCUGGAAGCCCUCAUGUACACCAGAGUCUCCUUUCACAAAGUGCACAAUAACUUCAAAAAUGUUCAUCUCUACUCCAUUUUCUACUCCAGUCUCUACAGAGAUUUCAAAUUGCAUCAGGAGACAUCUUUUCUCCAGGAAGGCUCUGGCUACCUUGUGACACCUUGGAUGCUUCCUCUUUGUCUGAGUUUUGUCUGGAAGAAACUUGGAGAUUUGCUUUUCUUAAAAUUUGCUUGGAAAUUUGAGAUAACUAGCAACCUCUCCAUGAGACAGUAGUUCAAACUUGGUUUCCAAACAUCUACCAAACUGAGCCAUUUCUAAAGGUGAAUGUGUUGUGAGAUCAAUUGCUGGGCUUUUUAGGUUAAAAUUUCUCUCUUUUCACCCUAGCAAUCUGAAAGGUUUCUGUGUAGUCUGAACUAGUCCUCUUAAGGCAUCAGCAUCAAUGGAGACUUGGAUGCUUCCACUCUGUCUGUCCCUUCUCCCUCUCUGCCUGGAGAUGCCUUUCUCCCUGCAGUGCCCUAAGAUCUGAUCCCAGAAUUCCAACUUUUAGACAGCUGAAGUUACUUUGUCUUGCAAAGCAGGUUCUGAGAAGUGGCAAGUUUAUUUCUUGUAUGGAAAUCAACUGUUCCAGUGUAUGCGAAGGUACACUCACGCUUCUUAGAAGAACUGUGUUUACAUAUAUAAAUUAUAUAAUACAUGUUCAUAUCUUAAGUUGGAAUAUCCUAAAUAAAUAUAUGUAAAUCUAACUCAUACUGAUAAAGCUUUUCAGGUUAAAUCCCAUGUCAGUUGUGUGGUGUGGAAUCUAAUACAAGAUUAAGUAACCCUAUGCACUGUUUCCAUCAAACAUGCAGCUCAGUGACUAUAAAAGAAUGUAUGUACUAAAACAGAUGAACAACAUUCAUCUGUAAAAGCAAACUAUCCAGGAAUCUAAAACAAGAUACAGGGAUUUGUCUGCUCUGUUUUUUGGGUUCUAGUCAAUGACAUUCCAUGUGUCAGCUUGCUUGUCUGUCAUCAGCACAUACAUUGUGGCCAUGUCCCUUACCAAAGUGUAUGUUAGUCUUGCUUGCUCUGCAAAAGGUUUUUACAUUCACACCUUCAAAAAUGAUGUCUGGGCCUCCAUGAAAGUAAUCAGCUCUGCUUUUUCAUACCCACUAACAUCCUACAUCUUUAUCACCCCUACUACCAUUUUUUCAACACCGAUUCUCUAUUUGUAGUGCUGCUCAGAUAUGCACCUGCUUUUUCCCAUGCUUAAGGUCCCAGUCAGCAAAACAGAGCUAGUAACCAGGUGAAGAAAAGACUAACGCGGAGUCAUUCAGAGCAAUGCCUUGUCUUAAGGUGAGCAAAGCUUAAGAACUGAACCAGUUUAUCUCUGUUAGAAGCACCUGGAAUUUUAGGAACUCAGCAAAUUCAAAAACUUUGACCAUUGUUUUCUUCUGAGGCUGGGGAAUGAGGAUCCAGUCCUUUUCCCAGCUUUUUUUGUGGAUUCCAGUGUUAAUCUUUAAGCUCAUAUAGUAAGUAUUAUUAGUAACAUGCUUAAAUCAGUUUCAAGUGAGAACACAAAGGUUAUUGACUUCUGUGACACUUUCAGUCUUUAUGUAGCAACUUGGAUGGUUCAGAAGUUUCUUAAGAUCAUUUAGAGCAAACAGAAGCAAAAGCUUUUCCUUGAACACUUAGUCAUUAUUUAAAAGUUCUAAAGAUGUAGUGCAGCAUUAAAAAUCUCCCCAUCUUACAUUUUCACUUUUUGCCAGCCAGAAAUAUAUCUGCAAAUUCAGAUUCUCACAUCUACAUGCAAUAGGAGAAUGUAUCCAUGUGGUCAUUCCGCUGCACUGUUUUCUUGGACUUUGGCAUAUAAACACUAUUAAAAUAAUAGAGCAUGCUCCCUAUCACCUAAGACCUUAGUUAGAAGAGGGAUAUUUACUAUCAGUAAGUACUAUUCUAUGUCAUGAUCAAGUCAUAGCUUUGGUUAUUUUACUGACAGAAAAAGAAAUCAACACUACAUUUUAGAUAUUAUCAUUCCAAAUGUGCUAUAUGUGUGUUGUAUGUUACAUAUAUGUAAUGUGUACCUGCAACGAUAGAACUGACCAGGAAUGAAGUUCAAGGAUAAGGCAUUCAUAAAAACCUGGGAUGAAACAUCCAUAAUGUUGUGGUCUGUACUGAGGAAAGGGAGUGAGGUUUGUAACCUGAAGCAGGCUCACGGAAUCAGCUCAGGAAGAGCAAGGGUAUGUGGAAAAAUAAGGUACAUUAUUAGGAUUCCUGGCAGUAUGACAGUUAUAGUGUGACACCACCAGUUGAAGAUCACCUUCUGGCCUUUGCAUUUCCCAGAAUAGGGUUAAAGGGCCACAGCGUGAACAAGAACCAGAUCUGAAACCUUUUGUUUGCCCAUUAUACAUAGACAUUAAUGGCAUUGUUAGCUUUCCCACACCUGCUUAAGUUGUGUUCGUUCACCUCUAUACUUCUGGAAGCAUUUUACACUGCCGAACAUUUCAGUCUUUGAUUCUUUUUUAUGCCUUGACAAGAGCUUUCAGCACCUUUUAGAUAGCAUAUUUCACAAUAGGUAAUCAACAUGCUGAAGGCCAGCACCCAUGAGCUGAUGUUCACUAUGUUAAUUUAUAACUCACAGAUGGAGUCGAUACUGUUUAGUAUCUUUGUGGACAUCAACAGCGUGACUGAGUGCACCUCAGCUAGUUUGUGGGUGACAUCAGGCUAAGUAGUACAGUUGCUACAAGGAAGAUAUGCUGUUUAGAGGUACUUGAACAGGCUUGAAAAAAGUGGGCCCACUAGAUCCAAAUGAGGUUCAACAAGGCCAAGUGCAAGGUGCUGCAUUUGGAGCAGAACAAUCCCAGACCUGAGUACAGACUGGGAGAAUAACUACUUGAGAGCAGCCCAGCAGAGGACUUGAGUGUUCUGAUGGACAAAAGGCUUGAUACAGUCCCGCAGUGUGCGUUUGCAGCCUUGAAGGUCAACUGCAUCCUGCACAAGAGGGAUGGCAAGUGGGGAGAAGAAGGGGGUUGUCCCCCUUUGCCUUCAUUAGGUUCCAUCUGGAGUACCGCAUCCAGGCCUGGGGCCACCAGCCCAAAGGAGGAUGUAGAGCUGUUGGAGCAGGUUCAGAGGAGGCCACAGGGAUGAUCAAAGGGCUGGAGCACCCCUCCUGUGAAGACUGGCUAAGGGAACCAGAUAUGUUCAGUCUGGAGAAGGCUCUAGGAAGACCUCAUUGCAAAUUUCCAGUACUUAAAGAGCGCUUAUAAACAGCAGGGGGCCUGACUUUUUGUGAAGGCAGAUGUUGGUAGGGCAAAAGGGAACCAUUUUGAACUAAAAGGGAGGAGAUUCAGGUUAGAGGUAAGGAAGAAAUCCAUUCCACAGAGGGUGGUGAGGCACUAGCAUACGCUGCCCAGAGAAGCUGUGGUACCCCACUCCUGGAGGCACUCAAGGCCAGGUUGGAUGGGGCCCUGGGCAGCCUGAGCUGGUACAUGGCAGCCCUGCCCAUGGCAGGGCAGUUAGAACUAGAUGAUCUUUAAUGAUUCUUCCAGCUCAGCCAUUCUGUGAUUCUAUUGCCUUUCAGCCUAAUCUUAGCUAAAGAGAGGUUGUGAUUUAAAACCAUUAAGCCUGAAACAGGCAAGAGGCCAACCACCAUAUACCAUCAAUGCCACCAAGUAUACACAUUAACGAGGCCCAAGAGGGUAGUAAAAUAAAAUUCUGCCUUAAAAGACUCGUUUUUUUUUCCAUCAUAGGCUUUGCGUGUUCGUGAAUAUUUUGUCAUUUGCCCAAGAAGAUUAAUUAGAAUUUUGAGUGUUCUGUGUCAAUCAAACAUCUCCUCAAAUGUGUUGAUAUAUCUUUUUGUGAAUGAAGACCAGCCUCACUCAAAUGCUGUGAAAAUCACAAAAAGCACACCUUUUAUCCAUUGCGGUACUAACUGUGGUUUGGCUGUUCACUGUGGAGAAAGAAGACUGUUGAUAAGUUGAUGUAGAAGUGUUCAAGGAAGGAAACUUUCUGGAAGCAUUAUUGCUAGAUAAGGUUGCAGGAAACUGAAGCCUGUUUGCUUGGGUGAAAGGUAGGAUGGGUUCAGAACAGAACAACUGGCCUAAAAAUUAGUGGGAGUAAGGACAGGAAUAGGGUUAAGAAUCUUUGAGUAGGAUAAUCGCUAGGCAGAAAACAAGAAGCACUUAGAAAGUCAUGAGUGAUCAGAAAAUUACAGAAAUACCUUCUGUUGAAUUUCUUCUUUUUUGGUCAGGCUGUGUAAUUCAGGUGAGUAAAAAGGGAAAUUUUCCCUUUUUCUCUUGAUCAGUUCAUACUAAGAAUAUUCCUAUGAAGUCAUCAAAGCAUGUAUGCCAUUUCCUAUAUUGUUUCAUUACAGAUUACGGUAAUUUAUUCAGCAGACAAACAUGUUUAUCAUAUAGCCUCAAUCCAAAAGUGCCAAUUUUAGAUAAGGAAAAGUUCAAAGUGUACAACUAGAGAGGUAUCCUGCAAGCUACAGUCUAAUCAAGAGUGAAUCACCUCAGUUAAAGCAAUGUAGAUUAAAUUAAUCUAAUCAGGCCAUACUAUUAUUCCAGUUAAUACUUAUUUUACUUUAUCACUUUUGAUUUAUGAAGAAAAUGUGGCAUAUCUAGUCUCCCUAAGCAUGGACAACUCUAUCUGACAAUCUCUGUGAGAAAAACAAACCCAUAAGGAGUCAAAUGAGGUUUUAAGAGGCACUAAGCUUCUGUUCCCAAGCUUUAUACUUCUCCUUCACUUUACGAGUCAGCUAAAAUGCAGUAUGGCCUGAAGGUCAUAUUGCAGGGGCUAGUUUGAACUGAGUGGAAUAAAGACAUCUUUAAGCAAGAAGCCACCCUGAGAGUCAAUGGAAAGGCAGCCCACUCUCUUACCUGAACAGACACAAUGUGGGGAGAGAAGGGGAUUUGUAACAAAAUGUCUAGAUUGAAAUGAAUCACUGAAAAAUUAAAGGACAGUGGCACUGACCACUGACACCAGUGAGGCAAAAUGGAUCACCUGAGUGUACAGGUCAAGGGGAUCCUCUAGCCUAAAAUCCUGCAAGGCUUCCCAGUAUCUCCAGUGGUGUUUGGCAGACAUAGGAACUGCAUGGCACCACAAUACUUCCCUGAGAUAUAUGCUGGGUCCAGCCUGUACCCUAGCAGUAUGAUUUCAGCCUUUCACUGCAGACAGACAAGGUUUGCAAAGGGAUCCACUUGAAAAUGGGAUUUUCCACUUUUGUCCCCUCAGGUAAAAAUUACUGCAAAUAUCUUAUCCCAAAACGUAUGUCUACCCUCUUUCUGUCCAAGUAUUUAUUUUGCCCAGUAAAAGAUGAUAAUACUUAGAGCAUUCAUGUUGUCUCUUGUUACUUUUCUGCUUAAGCAUGACCCCUAGCUUGCCAUGAACCUCAGAGUGUGCCAGUCAUGCAAAGACAGUUUCAUACUCAGGAGGUGAGAAAGAUGCUGUGGUUAUUACUUGCCAUUUUUGUUCCUUCCCCCAGCCCAGUUAGUAAUGUAUCCACUGUUUUUGGCUGCCAUACAUGUGCAUUUCACACCGUUUGAGCUAGACAGAUUUCAAAUGAGCAGGCGGUAUAAUUCAUGUACAGCUAAUACAAGAGAGCUUCCUGUUUCAACUGUGCCCUGUUAACUCCCAAGAGCAUGUAUGCACUUUAUGCCAAGCUAUUUACCAAGUUAAUGAAAAAAAUACAUUGAGUGCUAAAAUGAGCCUCAAGCCUGUAGUAACUCAUUCAGAUAAGUCAUGAAUGUUGUCCCAUUCCAACGGGUUAGGAACAGCUUGGCAGGAAGGUAGUUUUCAGACAUUUAACAUUUAGUGCAUUUGUUUGGACUGAAAACUUUGACAUGAACUGUUUGAUGCUCCAGCCAAUGUUUUUUUUUUUUUUGUUUUUUUUUUUCUUAUGCUUAUAUACACAGGACAGCCAACAAAGGUAAAGAAUUUUUCCCUCCAUAGAGUUUUAAAAAAUAAAUAAAUAAAGGAAAAAAGAGAAAAAAGAAAGAAAAAAUAUCAUCUUGUAAUUAGCUUUGGUUUUCCUGGAAGCAAACUGAAUCAAAAUUUAUUUCAAAAAUGUUCUGAGGUUCAGCAUGCAAAACAGUUAAGUUUCUGUUUUUCUUGGCCCCUGGCAAGAAGUACCAUCUGGUACUUCACAGCUUUGGUUUCUACCUGUUCCCAAAGAACACAGCCUGUCCAUGUAACCGUGUGUCUUAGGAGGAGGAGAGAAUAAUAAUCCAGACUGCUUUAGUGAAAUCUGGACAAACAGAAAUUUCAGCACAAAUCAGGGCUGUGGAUUGAUGACUUGUUUGUUUCAUUGCAUGAGGAGCCAGGGUAAAAAUGAACUAUUUGUUUUCAUUUGAAACUCUAUAAAAAGUAACAGGAUUGAAGUAUUAUUGUAUGUAUGCUGGAAGACUGAAGCCCAAGUCAUCUGCUGCUGUUUUUGUCUCUAGGCCAUGCCUCACUUACCAGGAUGAAAUUCUUGGGGAAGUUUUUGGUCUCGUCUACACUCCGCUUUACAAAAGCAGUGCCAGUUUGUACUGUAUAACCAGCUGCGCUAAGUUACAUUCCAGGCUUGCUUCCCCCCUUCUAUAAGCUGAUUAUUAGAGAGUGCAGAGAGCAUAGUGACAUUUUACAACAAAGGAAAUAAGACUUAUCUGUAGUAGCAAGUUUUCCCCUUUUCCUCCUAAUUUUGAGAGAAGAAAUCACAGCUAACAAUAUCACAGGCAAUGUAGACAAAAGGGUUGGCAGAUAGGUACUCAGACACCGUAGUCAGAAAGACCCUAGCAAUGCCUUUAACUGCAGGACAGCUAAAGGCAAGUGCGGAAACAAGUUUAGUUGCAAAGUAAUGUAGAUCCUCCUGGUUCACAAAGGAAAGCCAGCUUUGUUCCUUUUUGCAGUCAGCACAUCACGGAGAAAAAAAGGAACUUAUCUGUAAAUCUCUUUAAAGCAUGAUCCCUAUGAGAAAAUAAAAAAGGAGGCAAAAACAAGCUACACUGAAGUAGAGGGGAGUUUUCAGCACGACAUCGGACUCUGAUUACUGAGGAUAAGCCAAACCUGUUGUAAACAAUAAUGCAGUAAUGUGAAGACACAUGCAAAAUUUGGAAGAAAAUGCAUGAUGUUCUCCAACUCAGACAUGUUUACAUUCCUUGUAGCUACCACAGAAAACUUACAUAAUCUUUUCUUAUACAGAUAGGUAACGAGGACUGGAUAAAGUUCUAGGCAAGUUUUCCUAGUAUGUUAACUAGAACUGAUUUCUGCAUUGAAAAAGAAACAAGAACUGACUGAAAGACAUUCUUUUAAGAGCCCCCAAAGUGCUAUACAUUUCUUUAAGAAAAAGUGUCUGACAGGCAAAUGUUUACAAAGUUAGAUCCAGCCCCCCUGCCCAGCACACAAAAAUAUCAGCCACAUACAUUACAAGCCUUAUAUUCAGGAGCUUACACUAGUGGAAAGACCAAACCAAGACAGCUUUUGCUGUAUCACUGUUAAACUGCUACAUCUCCAAGUUCACAAGAAGAUAUAAGCUUAUAAACAGAUUUUUCUUCUGCAGCCAGUUUCUAAAUUCUGAAAUUACUAAAACAAGGAAGAAAGAGGAAAAUAACCUACUCAUUAGCUUUCAUUUCCAGACAGUAUCCAAAGUACUGUUAAGCAUGUAUGCAUUUUUGACAAAUACCUCUUACCUGUAAAAGAGCAAUGUUCAGAUUCCUUACUAGAUGUUAUCGUCAUGACAAGUCAAACAAUCUUUUUUAUAAAAGGUUGGAUGUCUUUUCAAUAAAGCAUGUGUGUACGGUUUAAAAAAAUUAAA